GCAGUCGAGCGGACCGACGGGAGCUUGCUCCCUUAGGUCAGCGGCGGACGGGUGAGUAACACGUGGGUAACCUGCCUGUAAGACUGGGAUAACUCCGGGAAACCGGGGCUAAUACCGGAUGCUUGAUUGAACCGCAUGGUUCAAUCAUAAAAGGCGGCUUCGGCUGCCGUUUACAGAUGGACCCGCGGCGCAUUAGCUAGUUGGUGAGGUAAUGGCUCACCAAGGCGACGAUGCGUAGCCGACCUGAGAGGGUGAUCGGCCACACUGGGACUGAGACACGGCCCAGACUCCUACGGGAGGCAGCAGUAGGGAAUCUUCCGCAAUGGACGAAAGUCUGACGGAGCAACGCCGCGUGAGUGAUGAAGGUUUUCGGAUCGUAAAGCUCUGUUGUUAGGGAAGAACAAGUACCGUUCGAAUAGGGCGGUACCUUGACGGUACCUAACCAGAAAGCCACGGCUAACUACGUGCCAGCAGCCGCGGUAAUACGUA
RNAcentral lists this ribosomal RNA (489 nucleotides) under bacterium. RNAcentral describes it as "bacterial SSU rRNA". It matches the Rfam family "Bacterial small subunit ribosomal RNA", at positions 57 to 529 of the family's 1533-position model. The record is from RNAcentral.